GUUACUGCUAUCGGAGUUCGAUUCAGCCAUGCGAGUCUAAAGGUUUCUUCGGAAACCUUGGCGGACCGCUCAGUAACACGUGGAUAACCUACCCUUGGGACUGGAAUAACCCCGGGAAACUGGGGAUAAUACCGGAUAGAUCAGGGAUGCUGGAAUGCACCUUGAUCCAAAGCUCCGGCGCCCAAGGAUGGGUCUGCGGCCUAUCAGGUAGUAGUGGGUGUAACGUACCUACUAGCAACGACGGGUACGGGUUGUGAGAGCAAGAGCCCGGAGAUGGAUUCUGAGACACGAAUCCAGGCCCUACGGGGUGCAGCAGGCGCGAAACCUUUACAAUGUGCGAAAGCAUGAUAAGGGAGCUCCGAGUGCCAGUAUCUAAUACUGGCUGUCCUUGUGCCUAAAACGCACAAGAUAGCAAGGGCCGGGUAAGACCGGUGCCAGCCGCCGCGGUAACACCGGCGGCCCGAGUGGUAGCCGCUAUUAUUGGGUCUAAAGGGUCCGUAGCCGGUUCGAUAAGUCCUCUGGGAAAUCUGGUUGCUUAACAAUCAGACUGCCAAGGGAUACUGUCGAACUUGAGACCGGGAGAGGUAAGAGGUACUUCAGGGGUAGGAGUGAAAUCCUGUAAUCCCUGGGGGACCAUCUGUGGCGAAGGCGUCUUACCAGAACGGGUCUGACGGUGAGGGACGAAAGCUGGGGGCGCAAACCGGAUUAGAUACCCGGGUAGUCCCAGCCGUAAACGAUGCUCGCUAUGCGUCAGGUACGGUGUGACCGUAUCUGGUGCCGUAGGGAAGCCGUGAAGCGAGCCACCUGGGAAGUACGGCCGCAAGGCUGAAACUUAAAGGAAUUGGCGGGGGAGCACUACAACGGGUGGAGCCUGCGGUUUAAUUGGAGUCAACGCC
This 896-nucleotide ribosomal RNA is filed under the name uncultured archaeon. RNAcentral describes it as "bacterial SSU rRNA". It matches the Rfam family "Archaeal small subunit ribosomal RNA", at positions 23 to 919 of the family's 1478-position model. The record is from RNAcentral.